This 253-nucleotide ribosomal RNA is filed under the name uncultured bacterium. RNAcentral's name for it is "partial 16S ribosomal RNA". It matches the Rfam family "Bacterial small subunit ribosomal RNA", at positions 524 to 776 of the family's 1533-position model. The record is from RNAcentral.
UACGGGGGGGGCAAGCGUUGUUCGGAAUUACUGGGCGUAAAGGGCUCGUAGGUGGCCAACUAAGUCAGACGUGAAAUCCCCAGGCUCAACUUGGGAACUGCGUCUGAUACUGGAUGGCUUGAAUUCGGGAGAGGGAUGCAGAAUUCCAGGUGUAGCGGUGAAAUGCGUAGGUAUCUGGAGGAACACCGGUGGCGAAGGCGGCAUCCUGGACCGGCAUUGACGCUGAGGAGCGAAAGCCAGGGGAGCAAACGGG